Tympanuchus pallidicinctus (lesser prairie-chicken) is the source of this 1549-nucleotide long non-coding RNA. RefSeq lists it as uncharacterized. Lineage: Eukaryota; Metazoa; Chordata; Aves; Galliformes; Phasianidae. The record is from RefSeq and is a predicted model, not a curated record. The transcript is spliced from 3 exons.
GGCAGCGCGAGGCGUUCCCGCCGCGUGCGUCUUCCUCACUGCGCGGCUGUGCGCCGAGAGGGGCGGUGUUGGUUUGUCUGCCCUGCCCGGCCUCGUAAAGCCAUUCGGUGCGGCUGCUAGAACCAGCAAACCAUCUGCAAGUCACCUCCCUAGUUUUUCUGGCCCAUCCACAGCAGAGCCUGGGAAGAAUGUCAGCCUGUGGUUCUCAGAAGCACCCAGGAGGCUCUCGGAGCUCGGUUCCUGGUGAAGAUGUGGCAGGCAUCUUCCAAAGGAAUUUGCCUUGUGCAGCGGAUUGCAGCUAGGAUUCAGGCUUUUUAGAUUAUGCAGUAACUCCCAGCGCAGGAGAGCGUGAAUCUCCACCAGCACAGGAUCCACAAACCAAAGGACAAAUCCCAGCUGUGCUGGGAGCUUCGGGUCCUUACACCUGCACGUGGUUUGCAGUGAAUACAAACUUACAGCUGCAGUUGGAAAUAGGCUCUUUCAAUGCUAAAACCACAGGUGGCUUGGGUAAACUUGAGCAGCUUUUCCUGUAAGUGGGAAUAGCAUAAAGGAUAAAUUUGCCAGGAUCAAUUUAAGAGCUGUUUUGUUGGGUUUUCCUUAGUUUUUUUUCUUUUUUUCCCCUUCUUUCCUCUCAAACACUGGGCAUAAUUUUUUGCAAACGUGCAUGGAAGCAGUAGCUCAAGUAUGAGACAGAGACUGUUUUAAAAUGGUUUGGUUGUACUGCCUGCUCGAUGGUAUUCUUUUAAAGAACAUUUACGAAAGAUUUAUGUAAAAUCUAUCUUUUGUCUACUUAAAAUAUGUCAAAUGGAUGCACAGGGCAAAAUUUAAUGCAUAUGGGUUUUCAUUAUUUUAAAUCAUUUGCAAUAUAAGUGAUUUACUGUGACAUCAGACGUUCGUUCUUUGGCUGUCCACCAUAAAUUGAAGCCCACCCAAAUUUCCACUUUUAUAUUUAUAUUUCUGCGUUCCCUCCCCCAGUAUCUCUAACCUCAGCUCUGCGAUUCUUCAUGUAAAUGACUUUCAGGAAGGAAAGGAAGGGAACACAUAAUUGGCCUUAAUACAGGUAAUACUGAAAGAAAAGCGAGACCUUUAUGUGAGAAAUUGUUGACAGCUGUGGAAAGGGGGGAACUAAUGCAUGUAGGAGAGCAAGUCCUUCCUGAUGAGAGCUACUGGAUGUGAUCAAAUGGACUUCAGUGCUACUGAAACUGCCAGAGGUGACAGACAUCUAUCUUCUGCUUCCUGAAUGUUUUCAUGUCUUUUUAGCGUCUUUCCAUUUAUAAUGCAGUUAAUUGAACACUGACCUGUUAAGGUUCCACACAGCUGUUUGGAAAACUGAGCCAUCAGACUUCCAAGAUAUCACCAAUAUUAUGUUCCUCCUGCUGUGGAUACCAAACUACUCCAUACGUUCCCACCCACACCAGCUCCAUGGGUGAGCCAUAAAAAUACUUCCUCCAGGCACUGGGGAGCAGAAGAGAGGCACACUGCCAACUCGAGCAGCAGCACAAGACGUUCGGUGUGCUGGAGGUGCUUCUUUUCAGCCCAGAGACCUGAA